Molecule: ribosomal RNA, 508 nt
Filed under: uncultured bacterium
Lineage: Bacteria
Description: partial 16S ribosomal RNA
Rfam family: Bacterial small subunit ribosomal RNA
Source: RNAcentral
AACGAACGUUAGCGGCGCGCUUAACACAUGCAAGUCGAACGGGCUCUAGCUUGCUAGGGUCAGUGGCGCACGGGUGAGGAACACGUAGGUAAUCUGCCUCUGAGUGGUGGAUAACUCUCCGAAAGGAGAGCUAAUACAGCAUAAGACCACGGCUCUCCGGAGCUGCGGCCAAAGCGGGGGAACUUCGGUCCUCGUGCUGAGAGAUGAGCCUGCGGCCCAUCAGUUAGUUGGUAGUGUAAUGGACUACCAAGGCAAAGACGGGUAGCUGGUCUGAGAGGAUGAACAGCCAAAAGGGAACUGGGAAACGGUCCAGAAUCCUACGGGAGGCAGCAGUGGGGAAUCUUGCGAAAGGGGCGAAAGCCUGACGCAGCGACGCCGCGUGAGCGAUGAAGGCCUUCGGGUUGUAAAGCUCUGUGGGUAGGAAAGAAUAAGGGCAAGUUAAUACCUUGUCUGAUGACGGUACCUACUUAGCAAGCACCGGCUAACUCUGUGCCAGCCGCCGCCGUAA